AAAAACAUGUCUUUUUGUUUAUGAUUUAAAGUUUGACCUGCCCAAUGAUUAUUAUUAAAUGGCUGCAGUAUUUUGACUGUACAAAGGUAGCAUAAUCAUUAGUUUCUUAAUUAGGAGCUGGUAUGAAUGGUUUGAUGAGAAAUUUACUGUCUCAAUUUAAUUGUUUUAGAAUUUUAUUUUUAAGUGAAAAAGCUUAGAUUUUUUAAAAAGACGAGAAGACCCUAUAGAGUUUUACAUAGUGAUAAUUUUUUAUUAAUGAUUUUAUUAUUUUUUAUUUUUUAUUAUGUUUUGUUGGGGUGAUGCGAAAAUUUUUUUAACUUUUCUUUAUUUUUACACUGGUUAGUGGAUUUAUGAUCCUUUAUUAGAUUAUAAGAUUAAAUUACCUUAGGGAUAACAGCGUAAUUUUUUUUGAAAGCUCUUAUUGAUAAAAAAGUUUGCGACCUCGAUGUUGGAUUAAAGUUUAUUUUUGGUGUAGAAGCUAGAAAAUUAGGUCUGUUCGACC
This 502-nucleotide ribosomal RNA is filed under the name Gnaptorina globithoracalis. RNAcentral describes it as "partial 16S ribosomal RNA". It matches the Rfam family "Bacterial large subunit ribosomal RNA", at positions 1809 to 2586 of the family's 2925-position model. The record is from RNAcentral. Lineage: Eukaryota; Metazoa; Arthropoda; Insecta; Coleoptera; Tenebrionidae.